AUACUGAGGGUGCAAGCGUUAAUCGGAAUUACUGGGCGUAAAGCGCACGUAGGCGGUUUAUUAAGUCAGAUGUGAAAGCCCUGGGCUUAACCUGGGAACUGCAUUUGAGACUGGUAGGCUAGAGUAUGGUAGAGGAUAGUGGAAUUCCGGGUGUAGCGGUGAAAUGCGUAGAUAUCCGGAGGAACAUCAGUGGCGAAGGCGGCUAUCUGGACCAAUACUGACGCUGAGGUACGAAAGCGUGGGUAGCAAACAGGAUUAGAAACCCUAGUAGUCC
Molecule: ribosomal RNA, 274 nt
Filed under: uncultured bacterium
Lineage: Bacteria
Description: partial 16S ribosomal RNA
Rfam family: Bacterial small subunit ribosomal RNA
Source: RNAcentral